GGGGAAUCUAUGGGGGGAGGGGGCUCUGUGGGGUGGGACAUUCACAUCAUUUCACUCUGGUCUGAGUGGUGGCCUGAGAACCAUGGUGGCAUGGACCACCCUCAUCCAUGCAACUCCAGGCCCCAUGGGAACGGAUGUGGAAGGAAGAACUGUCACCCUCUUAAGGCCCAGGGUCGGAGCCCAGGGCCUCUCCCUUCCUGUCGUUCAAUGGACGUGGUGGUGGCUGUUCCACACCCAUUUUGUUGCAGUUCCUGUGAGACAGGAGAGGCUGAGCCAAGGGAACUGUGAAGGGGAUGGGCAGGAGGGCUUGUGCAGGGUUUUGUAAGCAGUGAUCUAGUUUCAUUAAAAAAAGAAAACAAUAACCAUAACCACCUCCCCAUGUCUGUCUGCACCAGGAGCACCUGGGACCGGGAAGGUCAAGGGGAGGGAGCACACACUGGGACACUGGCUUCCGGGAAGCCCAUCUUCCUUUCCUUUCACAGCUCUUACCCUUUUUUUUUUUUUUAAUUGCACAGCAGAAAUAAAAACAAAUCUGCAGAUGAAAUUUGCCAUGUCCCUGCGGUUCUUGACCUUGUGUCUGAAGGCCUCAAGUCACUAGUCCUGCCACUUGCCUUGUAGACUUGGUUUCCUACACAAGCCUGGAAGGGAGGGAGACCUGCAGGGAAGAUUAGCUGGAUCUUGCUGGUGGGGAGGUCUGAGCAUCUCCAUCAGGGUUCUUUAGUUGUAGGUGCUAGAAAGCCUGUCCUCAGCUGGCAUAAGUCAAAAAGGAGAUUUUUUUAUUGACUCUGGUGAUUGAAAAGCUGUGGUAGGACUGGUUUUGGGACAAAGAUCUGAUAAUGAAUGUGCCUUAUAGGGAAUUCCUGUAGGGUCACGUGACUGCUUUAGAUUGCAGGUCAGGAAAGGUCUCUGAAGUGGUGGUGAUGAAGCUGAAGCUGGAAUGAGAGGGACCUGAGAGGGGAGGAGUGUUGGCAGGCAGAGAGCAGGUUCUAGGGCUGGACUGAGCGAGGUAUAUGGAGGAACAGGAAGGAGGUCAUGGUGGCAAAGUGGGGGGAACCAUGGUGUACAGUCUGGGGUGAUUGACAGUCCCCUGACAAGGGCCAUCCCAGUGGAAGGUCGGGGCUGGCUGCCUCCCUGGAGUGGGGUAAGAGGAUAUGAGGUGAGGAAGUGUGGGAGUCAGUGAUUAUAGACAAAAAAUAGUGCUGAGAAGGGGAGCUGAGAAAUGGGGUGUUACCAGGAGGGGAGCUUUGGGGGCAAAGUAUGGUAGGCCAUAUUGUGGACGUAACAGGAGACCUCCAGGCAUGUUUUGCUGGGGCAGUGUUCUGUUGUCAGGGAAGCUCGGGCAUGCCGUAUCUGCCUGGGAGGGUCAGGAUGCCUACUAGCUAGGGAAAGCUGAAAAACCCCACAGUAAAGAAACCACUUAACUUAUACAAGUUGAAUAUAAACCAUUUAACUUACACCAGUGUUUAUUAUUAAGAAAAGACCUGGGCCAGGUGCGGUGGCUCACGCCUGUAAUCUCAGCACUUCCAGAGGACAAGGCGGGCGGAUCAUGAGAUCAAGAGUUCGAGACCGGCCUGGCCGAGAAGUCUGCCCUCCCCAGAGAUAGACCAAGUCCUUCAGGAAGCCUCUGGAGCCCAUUGCUG
This 1640-nucleotide long non-coding RNA is filed under the name Pan troglodytes (chimpanzee). RNAcentral describes it as "long non-coding RNA NONPTRT003059". Lineage: Eukaryota; Metazoa; Chordata; Mammalia; Primates; Hominidae. The record is from RNAcentral.